UUGUGUGUGUGUAUACUCCUUCCCUGCGUUCCCAAUCGCAUACUUCUAUUUUUUACUCUUAGUAUGUACUGCAGCUGCC
This is a long non-coding RNA of Myripristis murdjan (pinecone soldierfish), 79 nucleotides long. RefSeq lists it as uncharacterized. The transcript has 3 exons. The record is from RefSeq and is a predicted model, not a curated record. NCBI's taxonomy places the organism in Eukaryota, Metazoa, Chordata, Actinopteri, Holocentriformes, Holocentridae.